UGCUAAAUCAAAAGUUGAAUGCAUUUACUUAGACCUAAUCAAUUUGAGUUAACGUGUUUGUCAUGACAUGAAGUUUUUGCUAAGAAAUUGAUUACCUUUAGACAAAAAGAAGCAUGAAAGCACCAUGUGUGCAUGUGAGGGUAGUGAGCUAAAAUCACCGAGAGAUAAGAUUUGUUUGCUUGCUUGGUUAUCUAAACUUUAAGCUUUAUGCAUUUAGGAGCAAAUGAUUUAGACCUAUUUGGUAAUUGAAUUUGUCCCUAGGUAGUUAACUCUAGACUUAUCUGGUUGGAGUUAAUAUAAUCAAAGGAGUUUAGGCCUUAGUAGUCUUAUGCGGAUGCUAAGAGGGUAAUUGGACAAUAGGUUUAGCAUCAUUCAUAUUCAAUAUAUUGCAUUGUUGCAUCAAUAGAGGUUAGUGGUAGACAAUCCAAACCUCAACUCCCAUCCCUGUUUCUAUAACCUUAGCUUAACUAGUCUUAGUCUACUUUCCUUGCAUUUAGUUUAGUCAAUCAACCAAUCACUCAAACAAACAAACAUUCACUAUUAGGGGUGGGUUCGCGAAAUCGAAAACCGAGCCGAAAGCCGAACCGAAGCCGAAAAACACCGAACCAAAAAAAAACCGCACCAAAAUAAAAAAAAAAACCGAACUGAACCGAACCGGUUCGGUUCAAUUUUCAGUUUCAGCAUGUAAAAAACCGAACCAAACCGGUCAAGUUUUGACGUUUUGACUUUUAAGUAACUAUCCGGGUAUCCGCGAUUCAGUUUCUCUCUUUCUUCUCUGCUGUUUCUUUCUUCUCUCAUUUCAUUGUGCUUCCACCAAACAAAACACCAACGAAUUCAGUUCUCUAUCUCAUUUCUUCUUCGCAGUCUCACUCAAUCCCGUGGAUUUCGACUAUGGCAUUCCCCGAGAGGUCUCCGACGUUCAGAAGCUCCGAUCUCAAUAGCAGCCGGAGCUUCCUCCUUUCCUUCUCGAUCCAGUUAUCAUUAGAUUUGUUGUAAAGAUCCAAAGAUAGGGGGCUCCAAGUUUGUUAAUGAGAUGGGGAACAAUCAUCUAGCAGCACUUAGCAAUAUCACCAAUUUCAAAAGAAAGGCUUUUCUAGGGAAUGAUGCGGCUGGUGAUAGAAAACUGUCAGUUCUGUUAAUCUGGGCCAUAGACCCAUAUCAAGGAGGUUUGUUGUAUAUGGUGAAGAUCUGAACACUCUUUUGCUGUAUAAAAGUUUAAUCCAUUGCUGCAAGCUGCUCUUGGUAUGGAGAAGUUGCCCUGGGAGAGAUCCACGAGCUCAAGUAGUGAAGUUUGUGUUUACAUGGUAGAAAAGUGAUUUGCUCCUUUUUGGUGGUUCUUUCAGUUCUGUAUAUGGUUAAUGGGUUGCUCUUUUAAUUUUGUUUUUAGUUUAUAUUAAAGAAGGCUCCAAUGGCCUUUAUUAUUUUUGA
Molecule: long non-coding RNA, 1428 nt
Organism: Rosa rugosa (rugosa rose)
Lineage: Eukaryota; Viridiplantae; Streptophyta; Magnoliopsida; Rosales; Rosaceae
Exons: 5
Source: RefSeq, a predicted model, not a curated record